GCAAGUCGAACGAGAACGGGUCCUUCGGGGCCUUAGUAAAGUGGCGCACGGGUGAGUAACACGUGGGUAACCUGCCCUUCGAUGGGGGAUAACAGUGCGAAAGCGCUGCUAAUACCGCAUACGAUCCUCCCAUCUAUGAUGGGUUGAUGAAAGCGGCGCAAGUCGCGUCGAGGGAUGGGCCCGCGGACCAUUAGCUAGUUGGUGGGGUAAUGGCCUACCAAGACGAUGAUGCAUAGCCGACCUGAGAGGGUGAUC
This 255-nucleotide ribosomal RNA is filed under the name uncultured bacterium. RNAcentral describes it as "partial 16S ribosomal RNA". It matches the Rfam family "Bacterial small subunit ribosomal RNA", at positions 57 to 305 of the family's 1533-position model. The record is from RNAcentral.